This 306-nucleotide ribosomal RNA is filed under the name uncultured bacterium. Its description in RNAcentral is "partial 16S ribosomal RNA". It matches the Rfam family "Bacterial small subunit ribosomal RNA", at positions 507 to 807 of the family's 1533-position model. The record is from RNAcentral.
GACAGCAGCCGCCGCGGGAAUACGGAGGGGGCUAGCGUUGUUCGGAAUUACUGGGCGUAAAGCGUACGUAGGCGGUUUUGUAAGUUAGAGGUGAAAGCCCGGAGCUCAACUCCGGAAUUGCCUUUAAGACUGCAUCACUUGAACGUCGGAGAGGUGUGUGGAAUUCCGAGUGUAGAGGUGAAAUUCGUAGAUAUUCGGAAGAACACCAGUGGCGAAGGCGGCUCACUGGAUGACUGUUGACGCUGAGGUGCGAAAGCGUGGGGAGCAAACAGGAUUAGAUACCCGCGUAGUCCCUGUCUCUUAUAC